ACCUACGGGGGGCAGCAGUAGGGAAUCUUCCACAAUGGGCGAAAGCCUGAUGGAGCAACGCCGCGUGGGUGAAGAAGGUCUUCGGAUCGUAAAACCCUGUUGUUAGGGAAGAAAGUGCGUGAGAGUAACUGUUCACGUUUCGACGGUAUCUAACCAGAAAGCCACGGCUAACUACGUGCCAGCAGCCGCGGUAAUACGUAGGUGGUAAGCGUUAUCCGGAAUUAUUGGGCGUAAAGGGAACGCAGGCGGACUUUUAAGACUGAUGGUAAAGCCUUCGGCUUAACCGGAGUAGUGCAUUGGAAACU
Molecule: ribosomal RNA, 305 nt
Filed under: uncultured bacterium
Lineage: Bacteria
Description: bacterial SSU rRNA
Rfam family: Bacterial small subunit ribosomal RNA
Source: RNAcentral